GACGAACGCUGGCGGCGUGCUUAACACAUGCAAGUCGAACGGGAGUACUUUGAAAGCUUGCUGAUAAGUACUUUAGUGGCGGACGGGUGAGUAACGCGUGAGGAGCUGUCUUAUGCAGGGGGACAACAGUUGGAAACGGCUGCUAAUACCCCAUAAGCCGAGAGGUAAAAGGAGCAAUCCGGCAGAGGAGGUACUCGCGUCCUAUCAGCUAGUAGGUUGGGUAACGGCCGACCUAGGCGAAGACGGGUAGCCGGCCUGAGAGGGCGAACGGCCACACUGGAACUGAGAUACGGUCCAGACUCCUACGGGAGGCAGCAGUGGGGAAUAUUGGGCAAUGGGGGGAACCCUGACCCAGCGACGCCGCGUGGGUGAAGAAAUCCUUAGGGAUGUAAAGCCCUGUUGUAUGGGAAGAGCAGAAGACGGUACCAUACGAGGAAGCCCCGGCAAACUACGUGCCAGCAGCCGCCGUAA
Molecule: ribosomal RNA, 471 nt
Filed under: uncultured bacterium
Lineage: Bacteria
Description: partial 16S ribosomal RNA
Rfam family: Bacterial small subunit ribosomal RNA
Source: RNAcentral